GGGGGGGGGGGGGGGGGGGGGGGGGGGGGGGGGGGGGGGUGGGGGGUGGGGGGGGGGGGGGGAGGGGUGGGUAGCGGGGAAAGAACUUGGCUCGCAGGGAGGGAGGAGGUGUGGAGACGAAUGGUAAUACCUGAUAUUAUGAGGAUAUGGGAUCGGAUAAUUAUGAAAGCUAUAUGCGCUGUGGGGGAGCUUUGCGUCACAUUAGCUAGUUGGGGAGGUAGGGGCUCACCAAGGCGAUGAUGGGUAGCCGGCCUGAGAGGGUGAUCGGCCACAAGGGGACUGAGACACGGCCCUUACUCCUACGGGAGGCAGCAGUGGGGAAUAUUGGACAAUGGACCAAGAGUCUGAUCCAGCAAUUCUGUGUUCACGAUGAAGUUUUUCUGAAUGUAAAGUGCUUUCAGUUGGGAAGAAAAAAAUGACGGUACCAACAGAAGAAGUGACGGCUAAAUACGUG
RNAcentral lists this ribosomal RNA (454 nucleotides) under uncultured bacterium. Its description in RNAcentral is "partial 16S ribosomal RNA". It matches the Rfam family "Bacterial small subunit ribosomal RNA", at positions 39 to 507 of the family's 1533-position model. The record is from RNAcentral.